UACAGAGGGGGCAAGCGUUAUUCGGAAUUAUUGGGCGUAAAGGGCGCGUAGGCGGCUUGGCAAGUGGAUGGUGAAAUCCCUCGGCUUAACCGAGGAACUGCCGUCCAAACUGCUUCGCUUGAGACCGGGAGAGGUGAGUGGAAUUCCCAGUGUAGCGGUGAAAUGCGUAGAUAUUGGGAGGAACACCAGUGGCGAAGGCGGCCCACUGGACCGGUACUGACGCUGAUGCGCGAAAGCGUGGGGAGCAAACGGG
This 253-nucleotide ribosomal RNA is filed under the name uncultured bacterium. RNAcentral's name for it is "partial 16S ribosomal RNA". It matches the Rfam family "Bacterial small subunit ribosomal RNA", at positions 524 to 776 of the family's 1533-position model. The record is from RNAcentral.